UGUGGUUGUCACAGUGGGAACAUGGGUCGCUGGACGUGCCUCACUCUGGAAGGAAGAAAGCUCAGGGUUAUGGUUCUGGCCUCGGCUUUUCCUUCUGUCUCUGCAGCCAUAAUUCUCUGGGACCUCUCUAUCCUCUGUCUCCCAGAGGCCCCUGUGCUGCCUUCCCACAUUCUGGGGUCUCAGGCGCUGACCUUAUAAGGGAUCAGUCUGAAUUGGAUACACCCUGCCGUCGAGGCUUAUCUUCACAAAUAAGAAAUACUUGAAGCCAGGGAUGCCCAGACUGUCCUUUCGUCUUCUCAUACAUUGGUUAUGGCCACAAAGAAGCAGAAAGUCUUGAAAUGACAAAUGUUCCAGAAGAAUGUUUUUCUCCUUUGGAUCUUUUCUUUAAAAAUGUGAAAAAAAAAUGAAGAGCCUGAGUUGGUUGUUGAUCUGUCAUGCACUGAGCACUUCUGUGAAGCAGAGGUGACAAAGCUGAGAAAACCCAUUUCCGCUCCCACUGCUCCCACUGAUACAUGGUUAGUGUGAAUUUCUAGAAAGGAGAGUGACAACGAUGAACUUCCAAGUGGCUCAGAGAGGACCAGCAAGCCUAUUAUCUCUGUGAUCUAACUGACGCCAUGGCUAUACAGAACAGUGGUGUGCCAUGUUUAUGUGAGUGGGACCCUCUACCUAGGCAGAAUGAUGAUUCUUUCAAUUCCUAAGUUGCUAGUUUAAAACAUCCAGUUAUAAAAUGAGAACAUGAGAAAACUGCUAAGUUGUUGGGAUUUCUCCCAUGAUGCUCUCUUUCCUGAUGCUACCACAAUGUGGCAUAGAGUCUCUUCUCCCACCUCUGACCACAGCUUCCUGGAUGUCGUGAUCAUGGAAUUUAGUGUCAGUCUGACUGGAUGGAACAUUAUUUAUAGACGUGAACAUGAGGAAUUUCUAAGAAAACUGGUAUGUGGUUGCCUGGGCUCUGAGGGCAAGGGCCACUCUUAACGUGGGUGGACAUCAUACAGCCAGCGGGAGCUGCAUGGGACGAACAGAAAAAAAAAAUGAGAUUUUCUCUGUGACUCUGCCAGGACAGACACACCCUUCUGUCCUUAGACAUCAGAACUCCAGGUCUACUAGGCUCUAGAAUCUGGGUUGUGGACUUGGGCUGGGUCAUCAGGUCUCUAGCCUCAGACUGAGACUCGUACAAGUGGCUUCCCUGGUCUGUGCCUUUCAGACACAGGCUGAGCCAAACUACCAAAAUUGCAGAGCUUCUUCCCUGAAGAAAGCCUGACAUGGCAAUGCUUAAGCCAGUUCUAAGAGCGGUUGGCCCAGAGGAACUUCACUUAGAUUUCAAAGGGUGCUGCAGUCAACCUCAGGGCCAACACAGAGACUGUCUCAAGAGAAACCCUUCACAGAGUCUCUAAGGGGCAGUGUAGGAGUAUGGCAAUCUAUUGAGACCCAGAAACUACGUGCUGAUCAGUGUCCAUCUGCAGCCUGGAAAAGCUGCAGUCUUGAGACCUCAACUGCGAGAGCAUUGGGUGUUCUCGUGGACAGAGUGCUGCCCUGGACUGGUACUUCUUGCUUAUUUCUCCCUUCUGAAUGGAACUGAGCAUUUUUCUCUUGAACCUCCAUUGGAUUUUGCAAGUGUGAAAACUGCCCAGUGCACAGGCUCAAAGCCAAAGAAUGCUCACUGUAUGAUUCUCACCGAUGUCUGGAAGUGUGUGGAUUGCUGACUUCAUGAGGACCUCUACACGAGAUUUUUCCAAGUCAGAACCCAGUGGUGACUUCCCUGGGCUUGUUAGCAUGGUGUCCUCUAUUGCGUGAGAGAGAGGCUGGUGUUGAUGCGCUGGAGGAGUCAUCUAGAAUAACACUUGUCCAUCCUGGAAGGGUGAUGCCAAUAUGCUGGGAGCCACAGCUUUUAAAAUGAUCCUUUCCCUGGCCCAAGUUACAUCUUCACAUGCAUCUUCUAUAUCUUGUACCAGCAGUGGAUUGUUUGGGUGUUUUCUAUUUAGGGAGCUUUAGCCUUAGUGGAUGACCAUGUUGUAGUGAAGCCUACCUCCUCCCAGGGAUUUUCUGCAUCAGCAACCAUUGGCCUAGUUGGAUCAGAGUCUACCUUGAUGAAAUCCCUAGACAAAGUUGUUUAAAGUUCUUAAUAUCAGAGGGCAACAUCCUAGGCCACUUCCUCCUUUUCCUUCUUCUGCAGAGAGAAAGAAAAAAGUUUUAGGCUUAUAGUUCAUAUCUCAGAAAAGUCUUCUCAACAAGGGUAUGUCCAAAGUGUAGCAGUGCUCUCUGGUUUGAUUUGCUCACACAGAAUCCAUGCUCUUCUGCAUACCCCAAGGACCAUGGAGCAUGGUCACCAUAUCCUUAUUACAUAGCUGUCUUUAGGAACAGUGAAGGCUCAAUAUUUCCAGGACCUCAUUGCAUUUUUGUGUGUUUGUGUCUGCACACAUGUGUGCAUGUAAGUAUGGAGCUCAGUCAUCAACUUUAGGUGUCAGUCUUUAGUCAGUUUUUCUGGGAGAAUCUUUCAUUGGAUUUGAAGCUCACCCCUUUGGUAAUGGUUGCUGGCCAGCACCUACACGGGAUUGGCCUGUCUCGUCCUUCCCAGUGCUGGGAUUACAGGUGUGCACAACUUUCCUGCUUUAUUUUUAUUAUCAUCAUCAUCAUUAUUGAUACUUGGGUUCUGGGCCUACAGUUCAGGUCCUCACGUUGCCUGGAAAGCACAUUAUGGACUGACAGUCGCUCAGGUCUGCACCUUAUCCUUUCCGGAAGUCUUGAACCUUCACUGUAUCUGAUACAACGUUCAUCUAUAGUUCUUCUCUGUAACUUGGUUGAUAUAUGCAUUCUGUACCCCAGGCAAGGCUGACAGGAAACAUUACACUUGCUGACUGGUAGUCUUUGGUGAAUUUGAACCAAAAAUAAAGCCUCCAAUGUUUUUCUGAUGCUCACUUCCAGGGACAUUUAAAAUAGCAUAAAAUAUCAAGUAUUAAACUCCUUUUACUUAGGGGAUGUAUAAUGCAGAACUGUUCAACCCCCUACUGACUAUCAGCACCAACUUACAGAAUUCCUCAGCAAACAGCUAUAAAUUAGUAUGCAGUUGCUGACUGUGUGUAUUCUUGCCUAGCUAGGGAGCAGUGCUGAGCCCUACCUGCUUUUCCACAAGUUGAAACUGUUCCCAACAAGGUGCUGUGCAUACUGCAUACGAUUGGGAAAGUCAUUGACUACAGAUGGGAUAGCCACACUAAAUUUCUUGCUCAUUCCCUGUGAAAUACCUCAUGUUCUGGUGAGAGUGUUCACCGUGGGCAGGUUUCCUGCUGGCAGAAAGUUCAUAGAUGUUUGUCCUGAAGUUGCCUUAUUGCGAUACAUAGGAUGAAUCUAUAAGAAUUGUCCCCAUCAAUUUUUGUGCUUGACUAUUUUGAGGCACUGACCUGUGUGUCACCAAAAUGAAUUAGUCCAUUAAAAGGACAGACUCCAUUGGUGCAGCACAAUCCAGUCACCAGGCACAGGCUGCAUAGCUGACAUACAAUCCUCUCGUCUCUGUCAUCCUUAAACUGAUUUGCCUGCCAGGUGUAGCUCACACUCUGUUGUACUGAUUGAGGAGUGGCUUGAAGGCUCUUGGCUUUAGGAAAAUGAUUUUCCCAGUCUGAGAUACAGCACAGAAAUGGCAAAUGAGAACAGUUCUAAUGUCAGAAAAGAAGGAAGGAAGGGUGGGAGAGACAGCAGUGUCCUAUGCGCACGGAGCCCCCUGCCCUGCCAUUCUGCCUGUCUGUGCUGAACUGGAGAGGCAACACCAGCUCCUUUCUCCUACCCAGUGCUCAGGCCCUGAGGCUUUUGUCUCAGCAGCUCUGUGCUGCCCUGGAGACUUUAGGUCAGCCCCAGAGACAGGGAAGCCCCACACCGAGGAUGCUCUUUCUUGUCCCAGUGCUGACCGAUGUCUGAUAUUUGGUGUGCUUCCUCGUUUUCUCCACAAGGAGUCCAAAGGAACUCCAGAGUGAGUAAGAUGUACAGAAAUGUGCAGACAUCCACAUGAGGCCCUGAGGGGACGUGGCCUCUGCAAUUCAGGGUUCUGGGGGUGCCUGGGGUGAGAAGAGGCACACCCUGAAAGCCCUUGUCUACCUCCGUCUCCAUGCUGGAGAGAGAGAGAAACCUACCUUUUCAAAACCAGGCACUCAAAAGCAAACCUCAGCUAUCUUAGUGAUCCAGUCCGUCAAUCAGCACUUGGGAGGCUGUGGAUGGUGUUAGUGAACCACUAGAAGUUAGAGGAAACAGCCCUUCUCUUCUUCAAACCUGACAAUGAGGACUUUGGUUCUUUUCCUGCACUGUGACUGUGACUCAGUCACAGUGGAUCUCUGCUUAUACCAUAUUUUAGGGCAUUAGGUCAAAGGCAGGACAACACUUCAGCACAGGCCAUGUCAAGAGACUCAGGUUUGUCAGAGCGAGGGACAUGGCACCACUGUCACCUAGUCAGAUGCUUCACCCAGGGGCGCUGCUAACCUUAACGUUUGGAUCGGGCACAGAACCAAAAAGUCUUUCCUUCUUUGUCAGAACUGUGCCUGAGAAAGACUGAUAAGAAACUUGGCGUGUCGUGACUGAUGUACUGAUAAGAAACUCGGUGUGAUAUGACUGAUGUGCAUGUGUCUGUCUGGGAGGACACUCAUGGGGCUGGUGAGAGUCCUUGUCUUUGGGGGAGAGGAGUAGAGAGGGAGAUCUAGUAUGAUCUCAAGAGACUGAGUUCUGUAAGUCUAAAUGGAAAACCAAAAAGAACCCAUGCUCUAGAAUGGAGCCUGAAAUAGAA
Long non-coding RNA from Mus caroli (Ryukyu mouse), 4759 nucleotides. RefSeq lists it as uncharacterized. The record is from RefSeq and is a predicted model, not a curated record. Lineage: Eukaryota; Metazoa; Chordata; Mammalia; Rodentia; Muridae.